GUGUCAGCCGCCGCGGUAAUACGUAGGUGGCAAGCGUUGUCCGGAAUUAUUGGGCGUAAAGGGCGCGUAGGCGGUACCUUAAGUCAGAUGUGAAAACCCGAGGCUUAACUUCGGAGGUGCAUUUGAAACUGGGGAACUAGAGUGCAGGAGAGGUAAGUGGAAUUCCUAGUGUAGCGGUGAAAUGCGUAGAUAUUAGGAGGAACACCAGUGGCGAAGGCGACUUACUGGACUGUAACUGACGCUGAGGCGCGAAAGCGUGGGGAGCAAACAGGAUUAGAAACCCGCGUAGUCC
Molecule: ribosomal RNA, 292 nt
Filed under: uncultured bacterium
Lineage: Bacteria
Description: partial 16S ribosomal RNA
Rfam family: Bacterial small subunit ribosomal RNA
Source: RNAcentral